Molecule: transfer RNA, 83 nt
Filed under: Schistocephalus solidus
Lineage: Eukaryota; Metazoa; Platyhelminthes; Cestoda; Diphyllobothriidea; Diphyllobothriidae
Rfam family: tRNA
About the family: Transfer RNA (tRNA) molecules are approximately 80 nucleotides in length.
Source: Rfam by way of RNAcentral
GGCCUCGUAGCUCAGUUGGCUAGAGCGUUGUCUGUACUAAGGUCUUUUAUCCUCUGUCGUGGGUUGGAAUCCCACCAAGGCCG